Molecule: ribosomal RNA, 472 nt
Filed under: uncultured Streptococcus sp.
Lineage: Bacteria; Bacillati; Bacillota; Bacilli; Lactobacillales; Streptococcaceae
Description: bacterial SSU rRNA
Rfam family: Bacterial small subunit ribosomal RNA
Source: RNAcentral
AAUUGACGGGGCCCGCACAAGCAGUGGAGUAUGUGGUUUAAUUCGAAGCAACGCGAAGAACCUUACCAGGUCUUGACAUCCCGAUGCUAUUUCUAGAGAUAGAAAGUUACUUCGGUACAUCGGUGACAGGUGGUGCAUGGUUGUCGUCAGCUCGUGUCGUGAGAUGUUGGGUUAAGUCCCGCAACGAGCGCAACCCCUAUUGUUAGUUGCCAUCAUUCAGUUGGGCACUCUAGCGAGACUGCCGGUAAUAAACCGGAGGAAGGUGGGGAUGACGUCAAAUCAUCAUGCCCCUUAUGACCUGGGCUACACACGUGCUACAAUGGUUGGUACAACGAGUUGCGAGUCGGUGACGGCGAGCUAAUCUCUUAAAGCCAAUCUCAGUUCGGAUUGUAGGCUGCAACUCGCCUACAUGAAGUCGGAAUCGCUAGUAAUCGCGGAUCAGCACGCCGCGGUGAAUACGUUCCCGGGCCUU